AUGCGGCGAUCUCGGGAAUGGCCUCGCUUAGCUAGUCAGAGCUCGUCCAACCCUGCUGAAAACUCACAAAACAGGACAGCACUGGGGGAUUGGGGAAAAGGUCUACAUUACAUCAUCAGGAAAACUCUUCAAAUAGGAACUCAAAUCUCAUAUACACUCAGAGACUGACAGUGAGCAUUGCGUGGUGCAUCAUCGGACAGGGGGCUGCCUACAUAACAGAACUCGGGGAUGGCAUUAUGCUCUGGGUCCUUGUAUGAGUAUAGUCUUCAACAAGGAAUGUACAUAGGAGAAUUACUGCUUGGUCUAUAUGAAAAUCACUGAGGACAAAGAGAUCUCCAGGGGAUCCCUGCCCUUUCAGUGAAUGGGGAGCAUCAACCUGCAAUCUGUCAUCCCCAGGAGGUAACAAAUCUAGAAGGGGGCUGCGAUUCUCCCAGGUUAUUUCUUCUUGAAGAAAUUUCCCAAGAACUAACGUUAGAUUUACAAGGUGCAUGGAAAGAUGCCGCUCCACCCCAGUAGUGCCACAGAGACUGGGAUUCUUUCAUCCAAACAUCAAGGUCCAGCACUGAAGAAGAAGAGAGUUAAAGAACAAUGAUGGAAAGUGAAGGAGAACGAAUAAAAAAGUUCUCAAUGGUUUUUA
Long non-coding RNA from Ornithorhynchus anatinus (platypus), 637 nucleotides. RefSeq lists it as uncharacterized. Lineage: Eukaryota; Metazoa; Chordata; Mammalia; Monotremata; Ornithorhynchidae. The transcript has 4 exons. The record is from RefSeq and is a predicted model, not a curated record.